This 1071-nucleotide ribosomal RNA is filed under the name Scortechinia diminuspora. RNAcentral's name for it is "eukaryotic LSU rRNA". The stretch from base 418 to 1071 matches the Rfam family "Eukaryotic large subunit ribosomal RNA", at positions 1 to 667 of the family's 3401-position model. The record is from RNAcentral. Lineage: Eukaryota; Fungi; Ascomycota; Sordariomycetes; Coronophorales; Scortechiniaceae.
CCUCGGCGGCUGCAUACCGCCGCCGCCCAGGCUAUAUCGACUCUAUUAUCCUGUAACCGUCUGACUGAAACUUUUAAAAUAAGUAAAAACUUUCAACAACGGAUCUCUUGGCUCCGGCAUCGAUGAAGAACGCAGCGAAAUGCGAUAACUAGUGUGAAUUGCAGAAUUCAGUGAAUCAUCGAGUCUUUGAACGCACAUUGCGGCCGCCGGUAUUCCGGCGGCCAUGCCUGUCCGAGCGCCACUAAUACCCUCAGAACCCGUUUUCUGGCGUUGGGCGGCCGCCUUGCGAAAAGGCGGCUGCCUGAAAAUUAGUGGCGGCGGCGCUCGCGGCGCGACGUACUCGGUAACUCCUACUAGUACGAAGUCCCCGGCGCUUUUCCGGCCGUCUACCAAAACCCCCUUUUAUGCAAAAGUGGUUGGCCUCGGAUCAGGUAGGAUUACCCGCUGAACUUAAGCAUAUCAAUAAGCGGAGGAAAAGAAAGCAACUGCGAUUGCCCUAGUAACGGCGAGUGAAGAGGCAGCAGCCCAGAUUUGAAAUCUGGCUCCCUUGUGGGGUCCGAGUUGUAAUCUGCAGAGGGUUAGUCCGGUUAGCCUCCCGCCUAGUUCCCUGGAACGGGACGCCGUAGAGGGUGAUAGCCCCGUACGGCGGGCUGGCGAGCCGAUGUGACUGCCCUUCGAAGAGUCGCAUAGUUUGGGAAUGCUGUGCAAAGUGGGAGGUAUGCUCCUCCUAAGGCUAAAUACCGGCUGGAGACCGAUAGCGCACAAGUAGAGUGAUCGAAAGAUGAAAAGCACUUUGAAAAGAGGGUUAAAUAGUACGUGAAAUUGUUGAAAGGGAAGCGCCCGCGACCAGACUCGCGGCUGGCGGAUCAUCCUGCUCCUCGCAGGUGCGCUCCGCCAGCCGCGGGCCAGCAUCGGUCAGGCUCGCCGUGCAAAGACGCCAGGAACGUAGCCCCCCGUCAGGGGGGUGUUAUAGCCUGACGCGCAAUGCGGUGGGCCUGCCCGAGGACCGCGCCUUUACCGGCAAGGAUGCUGGCGUAAUGGUCGUCGGCGGCCCGUCUUGAAACACGGACC